UGUCUCCAUCUACCUUCUUCCCUAUCUCGAAUAUCCCAAUUUGAGAUCUACAAAUUAGAAGACCUCAGACCAGGCCUGAUCUAGUUGGGUAGAUCUUGGAUUUUUUAGAGAUGAUCUUAGAGGCAUUCUUCAUCUGGAACGAAAGGCUGAUGAAAAAGACAGCAACUAGGCUGAUUUCAUCAAGGGCCUUCGAUCGAGUCCAGAAGUCUCCAGAUUUGUUCGUUGCUAGUUCUGCUGCACCCAAG
RNAcentral lists this long non-coding RNA (245 nucleotides) under Elaeis guineensis (African oil palm). RNAcentral describes it as "long non-coding RNA (EGUI_LNC048633)". The record is from RNAcentral. Lineage: Eukaryota; Viridiplantae; Streptophyta; Magnoliopsida; Arecales; Arecaceae.